RNAcentral lists this transfer RNA (88 nucleotides) under Candidatus Sumerlaeota bacterium. RNAcentral describes it as "tRNA-Ser". It matches the Rfam family "tRNA". Rfam says of the family: Transfer RNA (tRNA) molecules are approximately 80 nucleotides in length. Their secondary structure includes four short double-helical elements and three loops (D, anti-codon, and T loops). Further hydrogen bonds mediate the characteristic L-shaped molecular structure. tRNAs have two regions of fundamental functional importance: the anti-codon, which is responsible for specific mRNA codon recognition, and the 3' end, to which the tRNAs corresponding amino acid is attached (by aminoacyl-tRNA synthetases). tRNAs cope with the degeneracy of the genetic code in two manners: having more than one tRNA (with a specific anti-codon) for a particular amino acid; and 'wobble' base-pairing, i.e. permitting non-standard base-pairing at the 3rd anti-codon position. Lineage: Bacteria; Candidatus Sumerlaeota. The record is from RNAcentral.
GGUGGGGUGGCCGAGUGGUCGAUGGCACCGGUCUUGAAAACCGGCAGGCGGCAACGUCUCGUGGGUUCGAAUCCCACCCCCACCGCCA